CCUCUGAACUUCCAAGUCAAUGCAAUUUUUAACCACUGGCUUGUGGUACUUUGAAAAUCACCAGGGGCUGUCAGAGUUGGGUCCUCUGAAAAAUUUACAGUGCUAAAUCAGAGCAUAUGCUGUGAGAGAGGGGAAAAAAUUGCUUAAGAUUGGAGCAAGUACAGUAUCUGUCUGCCCCCUAGUGUAAGUCUCUUAUCUGCCUAAAAUUCAACUUUAAAAGAAAAGGAUCUCUUAAAGGGAAACGACUUUUGGCUCACGUAUACAUACGAGAAUGAAACUUCUGUGCAUUUUAAUCUGAUUAAUUCCUAAGGAUUUAAAAUUAAUUGGCUUGGACACUCCUAGAUCGGACAGUAAGAUUUCUGCAUCAGGGUUUCUCCCAAGCCCUGUGUUGAAUAGGUAUUUUUAAGCGGGGGGGACGGGGGGGGGGUGAUUGGUUUGUGAUUUUUUUUUUAAAUGAGAAGCCAUGCCUCUCACGCUUUUGUCAGAACAGAGCAGUUUUGCUGCUUAAAGUCAGAUCUGCACCUUUUGCCAUAAAGAAGGAUAAAUAUUUGCCUUAGAGCUGCAGACCAGCUGCCAACCGCACCUUUCGAUGUAUGAAGAUAGAAAUCUGUUAACUGCUGAGGCAGGUGGGUACAUUUUUGCUGUGAAGCCCUGGGAAAUAAUGUACACAAAAGAAUUUCGGAAAUGAAAGCUGUCUCUGCUAUCUCCUGUUUAAUUAACACAGCCAAUAAGGUGCAAGUUCUUGUUGCCCAAUCCCCACCUUCAGCCAAGGAACAGGUACGAGUAAUCCAUUGAAAGGAGAAAAUUAAAGACUAGAAGUCUCUUCUUUGGCAGCUGUCAUUCCAGUCUAGAUUGUGAGACCUGCACUCAUGUUGGCUUCAUACCUUUGCUGUCCCAUCAAAAUCAAGAAGCAAGAAAUGGCAUAACUAAUGUGUACUGUUGAAAUCAAUGGAACUCCUUGGGAGCACAGUUCUACUCAAUGUAAUACACAGAGGACUGCCCAGACAAUGACAAGGUUGUAUGUAGGAGGUAGAGAUAGCAACACAACUAGAUCUAGUAUCAAGACUCAAAGCCUUUCUAACUUCUAGAGGGUUUGAUGCAUUCACUGAAGUCUGGCCAACAUGACCUGAGGGUAUCUGCAUUGUUGAGAAGCUUCCAAACAUUCUACCUCCCUUUCUUCCUCUCUCUAUCCUCAACAAGUCCUGGAACUAUCUCUGAAGACAUUUAAGGAGGAAAGCUGCUGCAUUCUGCAUAAGUGAGUUUAGUAACCUCCAUCUUCAACUCUGGAUUCUGAGAACUGCUAAGGCCCAGCCUAGAAAUGAUGAACACAUAGAUCAUUGUGGCCAGAUCCUCAUCUAAGAGUACAAAACAAGACAAAGGCUCUAGCACCUGGAAGCUUUAUGAUAUUAAAAAGCAGAUAAUUCGGUGAAUAUCAGCAACUGACUAUUGCUUGGUCUGGAUCAUCUAUUGGGCAGCUAAGAGGAGAGAACAUUGUUUUAAAAGCAUUUGCUAUGAUCAAUUGUAGAACCCUGCUGCCCUGUUCCAGAGGUGUGGCAGAGCAAGUCCCUGCUGAGAUGGUUUUAAUCAUUCCUCAUAGACUACACUCAGAGAGUUGUGAUGGGCACCUGCUGUUUCACUUUUGUAGCCCUCACUCGCAGAGUCCCUCAAGAAUUCAGCCUUUCUCUCUCCUUCUGCUCAUCGUCUGUAUGAGGACAGAUUUUGGAACAUCAUGGACUAAAAGGCCAGCUCUGUGCAGAUAAUACCUAGCUCUAUGUCACCUUAACGUCACACACAGACAGCACCGUCUCUCCAGGCUGAGGUGAGCAACCAUCUGGAAGAGCAGGUGGGUGAAGAUGGAUCCAGAAAAGCCUGAAAUGAGGCUUGCAGUGAGAGGGAAGUGUUUAGAAGAACUUGCCACCUCUGGAACAUUACCUUUCAAUGAGUGUUCACCCUCAGAUCAUUAGGACUUACACAGACUCACUAUUUCUAGAUCCCCAAAUAGCUGCAGCUGAGAAAAGUGCCCCUUUCCAUCUAGGGCCGCCGAAUCUGACUCCUGUCAAUUUUGGACUUAGCCCCAGGGACCUAUGUAUUUGUGACUUCCAGGCAUCAUUAUUGUAAAUCUUUGUACCUAAAAAUGAAACCAUUCUUCUCAGUGGUUCUGAACACAGCAGCCUUUCUGACUGGCAACACAAGAGAACCCAUCACCCCAGUGCUCCACUCUCUAUAGUGGUUCCAUGGGGAAUACUGGGUCAAAUUCAAGGCUUUGGUCUUCAUCUUCAAAGAUCCCUAUGGAACCAGCCCAAGCUGCCUCAUUACCCUACAAGAUCAUGACCUCCCACAACAGUUAUGUUCCACUGGGACCAUGGAGCUGUCAGCCUCAAGAGUGAAACUUGUUCUGGUAGGAAAAAGAGGUUUUUGAGUGACUGGCCUGCAGAUCUGGAACUCGCUCCCAGAAGAGAUAAGGAUGACUGUGAACCUCAGAGUUUUCAGCCCAAAAUGCAAAAUGAAUUCUUCAGUCUAUCUACCCAUACUUGACACUAUGCAUACCAACAUACGUGUCCAGUCCCUUUUGAUGGGGGAAGUAGGAGACAGAAAGAAAGGGAUGUAUUUUUGUGUAUAUACUUAACUAUUUUGGGUAGGAGGCAUUUAGAUAUCCUACUGAUGGCUACCAUAUAAGAAAUUAGAAAGACAGAUAAAGCCAAUUUUAAAAAAAAAUCUUAGUUUAGAAGCUAGCUACCUAUUUUUUUCUGUUUCAGGUUCACAUCUGUGGGUAGCCAAAUAUUUUACUGCAAAUGCUGCAAUAUUUGCUAAUUUUAAUGCUUCUUUUGAAAAGGGGUAUAAUUAUUAUUGCAAACUGUUCACCAGCACUUAUCUGAUCUGGAAAUGGCAAUCAUUAAAUAAAAUAAAAUAAUUAUGUUCUUUAAUCUUUUUGAAGUGCCAGUUCUAAAAAUCAGUGUAUGUAUAUAUAUAUAUAUAUAUAUAUAUAUAUUUUCAAGUCAAUCCUCUAACUUUAUAAUAAGAAUACUCAAAUUUGAGGAGAAGGAGAAUAAAACUUUCUUUGUUCUGUGAAUAUUAGCUUCCAGCAAACUGUCAGUCUAUGCGCUUGUCUCAAACAGGACUUGGGAAAUAUGAGUGGGAUUUUUUUUUAAAUGCACAGUAUUGACCUAACUCUAUGCCCAUGGAAAUCAGUGGAGUUUUAUUAUUGAUUUCAAUGGGAACAGUAUUAGGCCAAAGCUGAGCACAUUCAAAAAUUCCACCCCAAAAGUAUAUCUUAAUAAAAUUAUGUGCAGCUCUAACUCCCACCUGCCACAAAACCCUGAAAUCAAAUAAAUGAACAUUAAAAAUAAACAAAUUAGUGAUUCAUUUACAUACAUCGGCAAAUAGGAUCUGAGUUUUAAAAAAAAGUGAAAAUCAGAGUAAAAAUAAUUUUAUGGCUAUAUAUAAUGGUGUUCAAUACUCACUGUCUAUAUUUAUUAAAAAGAGAAAAAAAUUAAAAGAAGAGAAUUUUCUAUGCAUAAAAAUAAUCUGAAAUUUUAAGACUUACAAAAGAAUUAUUCACAGAGAACAAGUGUGAAUUCAGGGUUAAGUAACACUUGGCUAUUUAAGCACCUUCACAAAAAAGAAAACCUUUUUGUACUUGUAAAACAUGCCAGACUUUCAGUGGAAAUCUCUGAUUUAGAUAUCAUUGAUGUUUCAUUUUAUAUACAGAUCUAUCUCCGCUUUUAAAAAUGCUUCACAAACAGCUUAGCAUUUUUCACAGUUGUUCACCCGCACCCCAAACUCAAUGCCCACCAGUCAGAUUGGUAAUUUUAAUCAACGAAUUAUCUUCUCCUCUUGAUGCAGUUUGGUUGUAUUUUAAAUCCCCCCCAAUCCCCUCCCCCCCCACACACCUUUUCCCUAUUUGAAACCAAUCACAUGUUUAUUCCCACUUCAAAAACAAACAAUUCCCUCCCUCUUGCCCCCACUUUUUAAAUGACAUCUUCAGUCAUUCAUGAGUUAAUAAAAUCUCCAAGUCAUCUGGGGAUAGAUAAGGAGAAAGAAAGAAGAGUAUUGUACACAUAAUGACAGGCUCCCUGCUGCCCCUAAGAUGUCACAGGUCAGCCAUGUUAAGAAUGUGUGCGCCCAAUCAUCUGCUGAUUUUUAUCAGCAAGGCCUCAAGCAGAAUCUGACACGGGCCAGUUUGGGAGUUACAAUGAAUAAACAAUGACUUCUUGGAUUGUUGGCGGCUGUGUGAUAGAGUGAGGGGGUUUAUAUAUACUAAAACAUGAUGACAUUAGCAAUCAAUACACCCAUUACUGGACAAGUUAUUGGACGAAGAAUGCACGUCUCAAGCUUUGUGCACUUUGAACAUAUGACCAACAGUGGAAAUCCACGGUAAUAAUGUUACUUAACCCCUCAUGGGACUGAUAUGCUAAAUCUUAUGUUGCCUGGAAGUAUCUGAGACCAUGUGAUAAAGGAAAGCUUGAUCUGGUCUAGAAUGUUAAAAAAGAAACAAUCAAACAAAAAACCCCACUGUUGGAAGGUUAUCAUUUUCUAUUGUGUUCCAAAGGACUUUUCUAUAAAAGGGAAAGGAAAACAGAUGCAUAAAUGUAUUUUUUGUGUGUGUUACUUUGCUAUUAUAGAAACAUCUCCUCUUCCUCUCAGUCCCGUCCGUGUCAUCAUUCUGCUGGAUGCUUUUGUGAAGUCAGAAUAUCCUGUGUUUAUGGGUUGUCCUCUGUUAGUACGGAAGUGGUUGCGAAGAUGCAAAAUUGGUGUUACAAUUCAUGCCGAAUCAAAUAGAGUAAAAAUGAGUGUCUGUGAAA
This is a long non-coding RNA of Caretta caretta (loggerhead turtle), 4802 nucleotides long. RefSeq lists it as uncharacterized. The record is from RefSeq and is a predicted model, not a curated record. Lineage: Eukaryota; Metazoa; Chordata; Testudines; Cheloniidae.